UUAAGUUCAGCGGGUAGUCCUACCUGAUUUGAGGUCAAAUUGUCAAUAAAUUGUCCGUAAGGACAGUUAUAAGCAGGACCCCAUAUUAAAGUCAACCUACUGUGGCGUAGAUAAUUAUCACACCAGAGACGGUCAACAAAGGUCUCACUAAUACAUUUCAGGAGAGCUGACUUCUGAGAAGCCUGCAACACCCACAUCCA
Molecule: unclassified non-coding RNA, 200 nt
Filed under: Tephrocybe sp.
Lineage: Eukaryota; Fungi; Basidiomycota; Agaricomycetes; Agaricales; Lyophyllaceae
Description: partial internal transcribed spacer 2
Source: RNAcentral